GUUAUAUGUUACAGAUAUAUGGCCCUACUCCAGCAGUACGAGGCCAUGUCGUUAUAUGUUACAGAUAUGUGGCCCUUCUCCAGUAGUACGAGGCCAUGUCAUUAUAUGUUACAGAUAUAUAGCCCUACUCCAGCAGUACGAGGUCGUGUCGUUAUAUGUUAUAGAUAUAUGGCCCUACUCCAGCAGUACGAGGCUGUGUCGUUUGGUGACUCGUUGUUUGGCUGUUAUAUACUGCUUCCCCUACAACAGAAACAUGUGAUACAGCUGAGGAGGGCUGUUUGGGUAGAAUACAGGGGAAUUCUGAGAACCUUGUACCUUCCCGUUAAAGAGUUGCUAGUCCCCAUUGAGGGUUUCCUUGUUCCUGAAGAGUCGGACACAGAGCUACUCCGACUUUAUCUGGAGGGCUUGUUGUCUGGGAGUGUCCAGCCUCGCUGGUGUCCAGUACUGUAUCUCACCUCCGUCCAUCAUGUCAACCGAUUCUGUUACACCCAAGACGGCAAGCACAUCCAGCUCAAACACAACAUGCUCCGAGACACUGUCAGUUGUCAGAGGCCGGAAGUGAAACAGCACCUAUUGUUCUACAAAACUGCCGAUAUUUCAAGGAAUUAUGGGAUGGAACUGUAUGACACUCUGCCACCGUCACGACAGAAGUUGAUGCAGGACAUUGAACAAAGCUUAAAUAAAGCCUAGCAUAUAUAUAUAUAGCAAAGGCUACGUGGGAAUACUCACAAUGUUGAUGUUUACAGGGAAUGGAUGUUUACGUGAAUCAUAUGGAUGUUUACUGAAACAUGGAUGUUUGUGGUCAAAAUAAUUCGGACUAGUGUUAUGACUGUUUUCUGUGGAUGUUUUGAUUGAAUGAUUUGGUUCACUACAGCCAACUGAAUUGAAAAGAGUGCAAUAUGUUGGAAAUUAUUUUACUCUCAGUUAAUUCAUUAUUACAUUAGUUUUAUUUUUCACUCACAAGACAGAUUUUCAGUGACGUAUUAAAAGUGUAUAAGGAAUCUGUUUGUGAUUGAUUGAGACAAAGAAAUCUUGACAUGUCCCAUCACACAUCGGGGGUGGGGGAUGUGUAUUUCACUGUAAUAUAGACAUGUGACAAAAAAAGUGCUGAUGAUUAAAACAUUAAAAUUUUAAAAUCUUAAAUCAAUUUUGUCGAUUCUAUAUUAUAUUAUAGAAAGUGACUUUAUUUUCAUGAGCUCAUCAAACCCCCACCCCCUCUGUGAUAGUAAGCAAGUGAACCAGCGUUGAUUACCUUUCCAGUAUCCAGGGGCUGUUCUAUAAAUAAAUAUAGGAGAGGAGGUGGGUGGAACGUUUAGAGACCCAACAACCCAUCCAAUUUUGCUGAUACUUCUAAUAGUUGGCUAAUUUCAGAAAACCUACCAACCAAUAUUUAUCAAUGAAAGUGCCUUCCACCCCACCCCACCCCUCCCUUCCAUGUGUUUCUGAAAUAGCUUAGUUAGCAACAUAUAUGCUAAAUUUAGAUUACAGUAGCUAUGCCACCUGCAAUAAAGUUAGGGUGUAUACAGGAUCCGGGUUGUCUGUUUGAUUGUCCUUCCAUUCAUCUGUCCAUCUGAUGUUUUUCUGUAGACAAUGUUGUUCACCCCAAUUCUCCCAAAGUUCUACACUGAUUUUAAUGAUAGUGCCCAGAACCCAUUCAUCCUGGAGAAUGUGAAUAAAGUAUACACAUUGGAGUCUCCUAUAUACAGAGUUAUUCCUGUUUGUUUAAAAGCAUUGCUUGCACUGCUUCCAAAUUGCUGCACAGAUUUGAAUGCUAUUUGGUACAUAACACUUAUAUUGAGGAGAUGAGAGUAAAUAAAAUGAAGUUACCUCCCCUUUUUAUGGAGUUAUGCCCCUUCCUUGAAAAAAAAUGCAUGUUAAUCCUGUCACUUUUAACCUUCAUUCCCAACUAGAGAGACUGGGACAUUGCUGGGACAAUUUUGAAUAUAUAAACCGGGAACAGUGGGACAAGAUUGAUAAAGGCUGGAUUAAUGAUUCACGAAGCUUGAUGUUAGUUGUUUUGCUCUCGGCGUUAACUUCUUUAAGAAUCAGAAGUCAAAUUUGAAUAUGACAACAUAUUCAUCUAAAUAAUUGAGUUGUCAAUGCAUGGGAAUGUCUGGAAAACUAUGUGUAUCAUAUUACCCCUUAAUGUAAAAAAAUCUUCGUACUGUAAAUCAUUUCAUUUUAAUGAAUGUGGAUUUGUUUUACAAAUAGGGAUUCCCCCCCAUUUAAGGUUUCCACAGCUGUGCACCCCUUAAUAUUUUUUUACACUUAAGAAAUUUCUUGCAAUAACGUUAAACAGGCCACCUUAAAGAUCGUACAUUAAGUCAUAUUGGAAAAAAAAACAUUUAAAAAAUAUUUAAGAUUUAUUGGACUUUUACUUCAGUUAUUAUAAUGGUACGUAAUAACGUUAUUUUAGUCAAUAAUAAGGCAUUAAGAUGGUUGUGUUACAAAGUUAAUCAGCAUUAUACCAUGUCAAUCUCUUUUGCGACUCGGCUGAAUGCAUUAGUAUAUUUAUAUAUUUAGUUCAUGCUAAGUCCUUUUCGAGAAAAACGUUCCAGCAAAAGAACUUUGUUUUUCAACAUUAAUUAAUGUCCCAUCGAGGACAUUGGUGAAAUAGUUAGGGCACAGAUACUAGCCUCGUCUUUCAAUACACAUAAUAUGUGUAUUGACAAACGAGGCUAGUACCUGUGGUUGGGGCCAGUUAAUUUUCCAUAUGGUGGUCUCUAGUCCUCACGAAGAGAGAAUAUUUAUUCAGAUAGACAAGGCUGCAAGUUAAAACUAUGGCCAUUUUUUUAUGAACAUGAAACUAGUCUAAAUGUACCUGUACAAUCCAGAAGGAGGGAGCUUUCGGUUUUUUGUUGUAAAGGACGUUAGUGACGGUUAACCAUGAACGUUCAAGGUGUUUUGUCCUUGUAAAGAGUUGUCUUUCUUGCCCUAUCUGGCGGACGAUGUCUCUUGAUCUCAUCGUGGUUAAAGUGCUUGAAUGGAAGACUUUGCUUGAAAAAUAGAUGUUAACUUAAUAUAACUGAAAACGUGUUGGAAUUGAGGUCUUUGCUCGAAAAGUGAAAGAAAUGAAUAGAAAAGUGCUGGAAUACUUUAUCCAUAUUCCAUGGAAAGCGCUUGAACACUGAAGACAAUUAAUAUGAUCACAGAUCGUUCGAAUCCCUGAUCGGACAUAAAAAGGUACUUCACCAGCCAGACCACAUGAUUUUCUCCACAGUGUGAGUUAAGUUAGGUGGGGUGGACUUUUCGACAUGAGAGCGUUCCCUCCUUCUUGUAUAUAUAAUUAUUGGGGGUGUCAUUUUUACCGAAAAUCUAUCUAAACCCCUAAAACAUGUAAAACAACUCUGAACACCUAAGUUUAGGUCCAUGUAUAGUUGUAACAAAUUCUCAGGUUCCGGUGAUUUUCUCCGGGUACUCCAGUUUCCCCCCGUUUAAGACUCUCAGCACCUCUUUCCGUGCGAUAAUUCAAACUUAGUACACAUAUUGCGUACCAAUUAUACUGUAGCUCAGAGAGUUCGCAUUUCAGUAGUCUACAUGCAUUUUUGGUGGAGUUAAGCUCCUUUUAUUGCAAAAAAGGGCAUUGUGCGUGUAGUAAAUGCAAGAACGUUUUUUUAUUUUUUAAUCAUGCCAGAAGCAAUAAUGUUCAACAUAUAUUACGGGUUUUUCUGUCGAGUCUCCACUUUCCGCGUUUUGGCAUAUCACACUUGACAUAGCAACGCUGUUCAUCGUUUUUGCUGUUAAUUUUUUCUUGUUUACGCGAUUACUCAAGCUAAAACACUUUUCUUACUUUUAAAAGCGCCGAGCAGGCGACACAUCCACUCCUGUGUAAUUCUUGUUAGAUAAACCCACGCAUCAGUGCAUACAUUUCACUAGUCGAGUUAUUUACUGUUGCACAGGUCUGAGAUCAUGGCUGUUACUUUAUUUUGCAGGUUGUUGGAGACGUUUUGAUAUAAACAUUUGUCAGACAAUUACAAGAUAAUGUUCGAAUAAAGACGAGCUUAAAGUGA
This 4010-nucleotide unclassified non-coding RNA is filed under the name Mizuhopecten yessoensis (Yesso scallop). Its description in RNAcentral is "rNA polymerase II-associated protein 1-like, transcript variant X1". Lineage: Eukaryota; Metazoa; Mollusca; Bivalvia; Pectinida; Pectinidae. The record is from RNAcentral.